This 267-nucleotide unclassified non-coding RNA is filed under the name uncultured fungus. Its description in RNAcentral is "partial contains 5.8S ribosomal RNA, internal transcribed spacer 2, and large subunit ribosomal RNA". Lineage: Eukaryota; Fungi. The record is from RNAcentral.
AACGCACAUGGCGCCCCCUGGCAUCCCGGGGGGCAUGCCUGUCCGAGCGUCGUUUCAACCCUCGAGCCCACGUGGCCCGGCGUUGGGGAUCUGCCGCCAAGGCAGGCCCCGAAAACCAGUGGCGGUCCCUGCGGGCCCUCUCCUUUGCGUAGUAGCAUCAGCCUCGCAUCGGGAGCCCCAGGGCGCCUGCCUCUAAACCCCCCACCAAGCCCGCCCAGGCGGCACCAGGUUGACCUCGGAUCAGGUAGGACUACCCGCUGAACUUAA